This is a long non-coding RNA of Lethenteron reissneri (Far Eastern brook lamprey), 2639 nucleotides long. RefSeq lists it as uncharacterized. The record is from RefSeq and is a predicted model, not a curated record. NCBI's taxonomy places the organism in Eukaryota, Metazoa, Chordata, Hyperoartia, Petromyzontiformes, Petromyzontidae.
GGGGCAGGGAGCGGUGAGCUGCGGGGAGCGGUGAGCUGCGGGGAGCGGUGAGCUGCGGGGAGCGGUGAGCUGCAGAGAGCGGUGAGCUGCAGAGAGCGGUGAGCUGCAGAGAGCGGUGAGCUGCAGAGAGCGCAGGGAGCGUCAUAUUUAAGCCAUAUCCCGAAACCAACCAUUCACAAAGGAGAUGACUCCAAGCCUCCUGGACGGCUAUGCAAACCAUCGUCGCCUGACCUUGCCUGGAUUGCUGUCAGUGACCCUUUGGGAGGAUCGUGAAGGACGCUGCUACUGGGCAGUUGGAGGCAGUCGCCCUCCAACAACAACGGAGGGCAGAGGAGCGACGCUUACAACAACGAGCGGAGUGCCGGGCGGAUAAAAUGCAGCAAGUUGGCACAGGACAGUGGACGGUACCAGUGGCGCCCUGCAAUUGCCUGCCCACAACCACUGUUGGUGGAAGGACCUCGACGGGAGGGAAUACUGGAGAGGCCCUUUUGAGAGUCCAUCUAGGGGGUAUUUGGCCUACUCUUCCACGUUAUCCAGACAUCUCUGAAGAGGUGUGAGAACACGUACGGGACCUGCCAGGUGACGAACUGGUCUGCCCAUAUCUAAUACUAGGUGGAUAGAGACGGUUGUUAUUAAUGACCUUGCCCGAUUCUUCAAUUUCCAUGCCGGGAGGUUAAACUGGCGACCUCUGGUUUGCACUGUGGCAGAAUUCCUAAAAAAAGGGCAAGACCUACAACUAUUCGAACAGUUUUUGUUGUUGUUUUAAAUGUGGUAUUUUUUUUUAGACGCUCGUGCAAGGUAAACAUUCGUAACAUCCGACCAGAGGAGCGAGCUUUGUUUACCAAGCUUGGACCGUUGUGCCGGACGGGAUGUUAUUCUGAGUGGAAAUAACAAGUUAUUUCGAAAGUUGCGCUCACAAACAACAAUACACGUGAAGAGUUGAAGUGACAUAACCACGCUCAAUUGUAGGCCGGGGAUUUCAUAAACACGCUAACGUUCAACGCUGCUUUCCAACUGUGGAUUUCUUCACAACUCUGACUGUCGCCUGAUCAUGCUGAUUUUAAUUACUAGCUAUACGUCGUGCUGGAAUUGUAAAUGUUGUGAGUUUUCUCUCGAACACACCGAUGUGCUGAACUAGUAGCUUAUUGACAUAUUUUGUUUACGUGACACACCUUACUAAUUGGCUGUGUCAGGUGGUGGCGGGUUUAACGACACAUUUAUAUUUACGCGAUCUAACAAAAACAAACCUCUAUUAUGGCUGCUUUCGAAAUUCGUUAAGUUCGCAAAGAGCGGAGGAUGGUCACCAAUGACACCGGUUGAGGUUGGCUUUUAAUUUAGUACUGGCAGCUCGUGCAUUUGGUGAUGUGAAACACUUGGACCCGAGCACGAUAUUUGGCUGUACAUAGGACAGCAUGAAGUCCAGCUCUUUAAAAGUAAAUAUUUUGGCAAACAUUAAAACAAAAUUACACGAUUGCAUCAGGGACUAUCGUUUUUCUCUGAAAUGGAAUGUUGCAAUCGUGUAUUGAUAGUUAAAUAUUAAAAGGGGCACAAAUAUUAUUUUUAACCAAAUAUUAUGGUUGCCUUCAAUGGUGCACUUUGCUUGGUCGUCCUAUGGUAGCCAUACACUGAACAAACAAUGUUUCAACCAUGAUUGUAAAAUGUCCUGCUUGGGGCAGGAUUGCUAAUAUCUGAAAUGGAGUUCCAAUUGGGCCCUCCCCACGCCGCACGGAGUGGGGAGGGUCUCGUCCAGCAGUGGAUUGUCAAAGGGGCUGCAAAAAUAGGAAUCUAUUUUUGCUUCGUAUCAACGUGCAGUCUGGCCACGAUUUGUGGAUGUGUGCUUGCUUAGUGCGGGCACAGAUGGAACGUCUUCCAAGACGGACCCAUUGCUCACUCCACUUGCCUCUGAAGGCUGACAGCAGGCAUUCGGCGAGGGCGUGUUUGUUUCUCUGGAAGGAACAUGAUGUUGCUGUGCCGAAGGGAUUUUACAUACAAACCAUGCUGGUCACAUUGCAUUUGGUUUGGUUUUCAAACAAUCCGUACGCCCCCUCCCAGCGGGACUCCAUAAAUUCAACCUGCCGCGACAAGGUGGUGUGCGUUCUCUAUUAAGGGGAACAGAAAUCUGCACUAAAUCAGAAGUUGUCUCGCCAGUUUUAAUGCAGGUGAUUUACCGCAGCCGAGCAAUGGGUCAGCGCGUGGUCACUGCAGCGAAUUUUAAAAACAAUCAGGUCACACGUGGCAAGCUGCCUGUAACUUGUCACGCCGCGGUCACGCCAGACAUCCCCGGAACGCAUUGUGAUGUUUAACUACCUGAAAGUGUUCAUAAUUUACCGUCGCGCGGACUGUAAACAGAACGCGCUCGCUCGCCGCAGAGCACCGGACUUAUUUCUCAGGAUUUCUGAGGAUUGUGCAAUUGUUGCAAAAAAUACUCGGGGGGUCAUUGGCUCCCAGUGUUGCAUGGCCCGAGCUUGCUGUCCACACUGAGGCAGGGGAGAGGUGGUGCCCAAACAGGUUGUUAAGCUAAACUGUCCGCGCGAUGCAACCACGGUAUGUUUUUGCUUUUGUUGGCGUCAAGGUUGGAGCUGUGCUCGGUGUGUGGCGCUUCGCUUACGAAGGCAACACGUAUGUAGUUCGGCAACGUC